This 5398-nucleotide unclassified non-coding RNA is filed under the name Leishmania donovani. Its description in RNAcentral is "gene:LdHU3.13.1850(CDS-product:hypothetical_prote in_conserved)". The record is from RNAcentral. Lineage: Eukaryota; Euglenozoa; Kinetoplastea; Trypanosomatida; Trypanosomatidae.
CGAGAGUGUGGGCACACACACACACACACACACACACAUAGUCUCCGCAAAGAGACCCCGCUCUCCUCCCCGCAUACGUACACGCACAGGGUUCAGAGCCAUCAACACCAACGCCCAAGUUUAACAGAGGUGCACUCAGACGGCCGAACAGAAAAAAAGGGAGCAUCCAAGAGAACGUAAAGAGGGGAGCGACACACAUCUGACGUGUAUGCGUGUGUGUCUGUGCCUCUGUGCCGGCACAUCAGCGACGUGUGGCCAUUUGGUUCUCUAUCGUGCUUUUUUUUUUGUAGACUGAGCAGUGGCUCUGUGUUUUGGCGUCCGCUUCGCUGUGCUGCCUGCCGUGCUGCCUCCGCGCGUGCGUGUUGCCCGUCACCUGUAGCAGCCAAAAAUACAACCUCCGCCCACAGGCAUAUACACAAGCAAGCUGAGGCAUCAGCACACAGGGUCACAGAACAAACCCACAUAGAAACACAUUGUCAUAGACGAACCGGCUCGGGGGGAGGGGAGGUGCAAGGAGGACUGACAGGCACACACGCGCACAGGCAGCGCUAGCUUUUCUUAUUUUUUUUUCUUAUCUGUGGAUUCCUCCCCUCUGUCUUUUCAUCGUCGCUUUUGCCAUUCUGAGCAGCACACAGAUCCUUUUUUGUAGGCGCACGGCCCGCAGCAAAGAGACGACAACAAUCCCCCCAAGGCGCAUCAAACUGCGACGCUGGAAUACCCUCUCUUGAUUCAUGCAGCGGGCGUACACGCCGGUUCCCCACUGCCUCAGUGCGCGGGCGCCUCUCCACCUCGUAGCUGCGCUGCGGCACCACAGCACGCGUAGCGGCGCUGCCGCCGCCGCGAAUGCGGCACCGUCACCGUCACCUUCUGGCGGUCUUCGGCCGCUGCGGAUUCGCACUCGCGGCUAUGGCCCUUCUUCGGAUCUUUUGAAGGGCAUCCCGGAGUUUGUAGCGCUGAACGUGGAGGUGACACUUCACCCAGAGGACGCAGAGGUACAGCGCGCCGUGCUGGCGUUGUCGAUGCCCAGCCUCGCCGGUGUGCGUGUUACGCCGGUACUGCCGCACGGAGCUUACGAGAGCAAGGUUCCUCACCGCACUGGUGCCUCCUACGUGGAUGUCAUCAGCUCCACCGAGCGCGAGGUGAUGGAGCAGUGUCUGCAAGAGCAACUGGCAGUUGUGGCCAACCUCGUUGUGGACCAGGUGGAGCAGCGCACCGGGCAGCAGCUGGAUGCGCUGCACGUCACAUACGCAGACAAGAUGAAGAGCUUCUCGGAGAUCGUGCUCAAUAGCAUCCACGAUGAGCUGCGGCAACUCCGCGUCGUGCGUGAGCGACAGGGUGCCGCGGAGCGAGACAGCCCCAGCGCCUCCCCUUCUCACUCCCCAAUGCCCAUCGAUGCGGAGGCGGUGGCGCGGCUGGUCAGCGCACGCGUUGCCGAGCAGCUCACCGGUGCCACCCUGCCCUCCAGCACCACCUCCACACCGCCACCAAGCAGCGACAUGGUCUAUCAACUUUCUCGUUUGGAGGAGAGCACGGCGGCGCACUUUGAGGACUUGCAGAGGCGCAUCACGGCCGUAGUAGCGGGCCGGGACGCGCCAGUGGUGACCUCGGCGCCGGCGGAGCUCCGCACUGCCGUCGUCGAGGCGGUUCAGAAGGCGGCCGCCGAGCAGCAUGAGAAGCUCUCAAACUUGAUCAAUGACCUCCUGGCUGAGGAGCGACUGGCGGCGCGUGGAAGCGGCGGUGACGCGGCUGCCAAGGCAUCCGUCGACAUAAGGGCGAUCGAAGAGAGCAUCGAAAGUGCCGUGCAGUCGGCCACCGAUGAACUGCGCCGCACCAUCACCAGCGAGGUGAAGAAGCUAGCAAAGUCGAAGGACACCAGCGGCGAGGCCACGGCAGGCGCCGCAACCGACGCGGACAUGGCGAUUGAGAUUGAAAAGGUUUUCGACGCUGUACAGUCGACGCAAAGCCGUCUUGCGGCAGUGGACGAGAUCGUGGGAGACGUCUUCAAAGAGCAAGCCGCCACCCGGGAUGCACUGCAGGCCAUGCAGGAAGUUCUGCAGCGUCAGCUCGAUGAGCUGCGUAGCACUGUAACCACCGCGGCCGCCGCUUCUACUCCAUCGCCUGCUGCGACUCCUGCUAGUGGCGUGCCGGAGGCGGCUCAGGAGAAGAUCACGGAAGCGUUGGAGCAGCUGCGCCGCGAUGUAUCAGCGACAAGCUCCAUGCUGGCAAUCCACAAAGACGACGCGCAGCAACAACUCAUGACAGUGGCGCAGGUGGUGAGCGACAGCGUCACAGCCGCCAUCCAGCAGCAGACGGAGGAGGCCCUGCAGUCCGCCAUGUCCACCGUCCAGGAGCAGCUCAACGCGCUUCGAGAGGCCGGGGAGGCCGCGUCGGCCGCCGCCUCCGCGGCACCACCGCCUGCAGCUGCACCGCCGCCCGCGCCGCUUUCGCAGGAGGUGCUAACGGACGCCGUGGAGGCUGUGCUCUCGCCACGGUGGGCGGAGCUUUCUGUGCAGGUGGAGCAGAUGAACACUGCAAACCAGCUCGCCAUCGAACAGCAGUUGCUGCACAUCGCCGACAGCGUGUCGACCUCCGUCGCGGCAAGCCUGCAGGCGCAGCUGGAGGAGAUGCGCACUUCUGCCGACAGCCAGCUGAAGGCCGAGCAUGCGGCCGAAGAGCACGGCUCCGUCAGCAUCGACACGCCACCGACAGCUACGGCGGCACUGAUAGAGAAAACGACGCACGAGCUCGCGACACUUCGCGAGGAGCUGCUGCAGGCGUUGCAGACUCAAGUGGGCAAGACGCCUGAGGUGAACUUGACGCCCAUGUACAAGUACAUCGACAGCGUUCUCGCCUUCAUGAAGGAGGAGCUCAGCCUUCAGGAGACGAACCUGACGGCUAAGAUGGCCUCGCUCGCGGAAACCGUGACGGCCGCCGUACGCGAGCAGCAGGAAGAUGUGCAGGCGGUGCGGGAAUCGGUGGAGGCGAGGGCGGCGAAGGCGGCUGCCUUGGCUGAUGUGCCGCCUCCGGCCGCCCCCGCCGCCGCGCUGUCUGACAUCGGGGAGCUGCUCUCGCCGAUGGGUACCGCUCUGGAUGCUCACGCCGCUGCACUGCGCCGGCUCGAGGAGCGGCUGGAUGAAGUUAGCCGCACCGCCGAUGUCUCGUCAGUGCUGACGCGUCUGCAGGAAGCAAGCGAGAAGUUCUGCAGCGCCUCUGCCGCAGCGGCCGCGGCACAGACAUCAGAGAGAGACACAUUGCAGGCGCUUUUCCAGGAUCGCUUCACAUCUCUCACACAGUCGCUCGAGGGCCGCGACGCCCGGCUCAUGGAGGCCGUGCGUGGCACCGCCACGAGCGCAGAGGUGAGGGCGCAGCUGAGCAGCGUGCAGGGCUCCAUCCAGUCUGUGGCGCAGGCACACAAGGAGGAACUGUUGACCGCUUUGCGCGAAUCCGUCUCUGACAACGAAAAGGGGCAAGCGCAGCGCACUGACGCCCUGCUGGCCCGAAUGGCGGCGAUGCAGGAGGCAAUCCAGGAGCAGCACGUGUCUGUGCAGCUUCUCCAGCCGUCUCCGGCGCUUAUUGGAUUCUCUGAGGAGCAGCAGCGGGCUCAGGCUCGCAUUCGCACAGCUACGCGGGAUCGUCUUCGCCGCGUCACUCAACUCAUCAGCGACCUCGCGUCCGUGCCGACCGGCAAGAGUGCAAGUGCUGCCGCCGAGAAGCUGCAGGACGAACUUGCGGGGCUGCGGCAACUCCAGGAGGAGGAAGCGGCUCUUGUGCGCGAAAACAGUGCGACAGGCGCGGGGCCUGUGACGAUGCAGUCAGUCGUUCAGGCAGAGGUUCAGCGGGUGCAGGAGGAGAUGCAGAAGGGCAUACAAGAGCUGAGCAGCCAGGGGCAGCUGCUGCAGCGCGACAUCGCGGUGGCGGUGCAGUCGCUCGUGGCGAAGAUCGAUGACGUGGGGGGCAACGCGAGCGGGCUUCCUUCCUUGGCCGACAUCCAGGAACUGCUGGAUGCCACGAUGAUGCGCAUCGCUUCUCAGCAAAACGAGGAAGGUACUCGUGCGUCGCAGCUGGUGGAGGCGGCAACGAGCCGCUCCGCCGCGGAGCUGAAGACGGCUGUGCAGACGGCACUCGCAGAAAACGUGUCAGCCGCCGAGAAGCGACUCAUUCCCUCCUUCCACGCGAAAGUGGAGGCCACGCUGCAGACACAUCUCACGACACACUCGGCAGAGAUCAAAACUGUCGUGAACAGCGUGGCGGACACCACCUCAGCGGCUGUGCAGCGAAUGGAGUCCAUCGCACAGGACAUGGCAAGCCGGCACACAAGCGCGGUGCAAGAGCACGCGACGUCGCAAGACACGCUGCGGCUUCACUCAAGCAGCGUCCAGCCCACAGCGCACGUCCCACUCUGGUGGCUCAUCGCGAACCCGGUGCUGGUGUGUGUGAUGGUGCUUCUCAGCAUUUACUACGUGUUUGCUUGUCUCCUUCUCGCCUUCGUGCCAAAACCGUCGGAAGAAGGCAGCGCUGCUGGAGAUAAGGUGACCAUUGCUGCGGCGAGGGCGGUGGCGACGGGCUCCGAGAUAGCGAAUUCGCUUUCCAGGAUGCCUCGCAAGGGUGGUCGCUACGUUGAUCGGUAUAUGUAGUGCUGGAAUGAGAGGCGAUUGCUCGGAUAUCAGUGCGUAGGUAAAACAGGGCGGUGCCCGAGAUUCGAGGUGCCAGCCGGCAUGCUGCUCUUCUGCGAACGUGUCCACGUACUGAUCGGGGGAACCAUGUGCAGAAAAGGCCGCGGUGUUGUUGCGAACAUGAGGGUUACCAUUGGCCUUCUUGUGUGUGUGUGGUCGCAUAGAGUGUAUCAUCAACUGCCUUAUCGUGGUGAGUGGGUAUGUGCCUGUGAGGAGGAGUGUUCCGCGUACAUCGUGGCUGAGAUGCGCUUCUGUGUGGAGAGGCGCGCGUAACGGUUUGUGCGUGUUCCCGCGUCUCUGCGGUGGAUGAACGCCGUGCGGUAUUCCUUGCUCGCCCCUCCUCGCUUUGGUGUUCCUUUAUUUUGCAUAGACUACGACUACUGCGCCUUCGUCCAUUCAACCUUCACCCUCUCGAAAGGGGCCGUGGACCGGCAGAGUACGCACGACAGCCUCAUUGAGUCUAUCAGGGCUCUGCGUGUCUAAGUUUGCGUUGGUGUUUUUCGUUUUCGUGUUUGGAGCCCUCCGCGCAGCAGACUAGGUAGGGAUGCGCAUGAGUCUCUCGUCGUCUUGGCCCCUCCUCCCUCGUGUUGCCUGGCUGAGGGUAUUUCGCUCCAGUGCCACGAUCGAGCGGCGGUGGCUUUUGUGUGUGUUGCAGGUGGGGCAAUAUCCCUUUUCGGAGGUGCGAUCUUUGGCUCAUCCUUAGCAGCGGUAGAUGCCGGCGUCUC